This 253-nucleotide ribosomal RNA is filed under the name uncultured bacterium. Its description in RNAcentral is "partial 16S ribosomal RNA". It matches the Rfam family "Bacterial small subunit ribosomal RNA", at positions 524 to 776 of the family's 1533-position model. The record is from RNAcentral.
UACGUAGGGUGCAAGCGUUAAUCGGCAUUACUGGGCGUAAAGCGUGCGCAGGCGGUUAUGUAAGACAGAUGUGAAAUCCCCGGGCUCAACCUGGGAACUGCAUUUGUGACUGCAUCGCUGGAGUGCGGCAGAGGGGGAUGGAAUUCCGCGUGUAGCAGUGAAAUGCGUAGAUAUGCGGAGGAACACCGAUGGCGAAGGCAAUCCCCUGGGCCUGCACUGACGCUCAUGCACGAAAGCGUGGGGAGCAAACAGG